This 497-nucleotide ribosomal RNA is filed under the name uncultured bacterium. Its description in RNAcentral is "partial 16S ribosomal RNA". It matches the Rfam family "Bacterial small subunit ribosomal RNA", at positions 28 to 507 of the family's 1533-position model. The record is from RNAcentral.
GAUGAACGCUGGCGGCGUGCCUAAUACAUGCAGGUCGAGCGAACAGACGAGGAGCUUGCUCCUCUGACGUUAGCGGUGGACGGGUGAGUAACACGUGGAUAACCUACCUAUAAGACUGGGAUAACUUCGGGAAACCGGAGCUAAUACCGGAUAAUAUAUUGAACCGCAUGGUUCAAUAGUGAAAGACGGUUUUGCUGUCACUUAUAGAUGGAUCCGCGCCGCAUUAGCUAGUUGGUAAGGUAACGGCUUACCAAGGCAACGAUGCGUAGCCGACCUGAGAGGGUGAUCGGCCACACUGGAACUGAGACACGGUCCAGACUCCUACGGGAGGCAGCAGUAGGGAAUCUUCCGCAAUGGGCGAAAGCCUGACGGAGCAACGCCGCGUGAGUGAUGAAGGUCUUCGGAUCGUAAAACUCUGUUAUUAGGGAAGAACAAAUGUGUAAGUAACUAUGCACGUCUUGACGGUACCUAAUCAGAAAGCCACGGCUAACUACGUG